GGACCAAGGAGUCUAGCAUGUGCGCGAGUCAUUGGGACUCUGCGAAACCCAAAGGCGAAAUGAAAGUGAAACUUGCGCACGCAAGUCGAGGGAGGAUGGGUCGCUCCACAAAGCGGCCCCGCACUCCCGGGGCGUCUCGUUCUCAUCGCGAGAAGAGGCGCACCCAGAGCGUACACGCUGGGACCCGAAAGAUGGUGAACUAUGCCUGGUCAGGACGAAGUCAGGGGAAACCCUGAUGGAGGUCCGUAGCGAUUCUGACGUGCAAAUCGAUCGUCGGAACUGGGUAUAGGGGCGAAAGACUAAUCGAACCAUCUAGUAGCUGGUUCCCUCCGAAGUUUCCCUCAGGAUAGCUGGCGCUCGUCUGAGACGAGUCUCAUCCGGUAAAGCGAAUGAUUAGAGGCAUUGGGGUCGAAACGGCCUCAACCUAUUCUCAAACUUUAAAUGGGUGAGAUCUCCGGCUUGCUCGAACAGUUUGUUGAAGCCGCGAGAUCUAUCGGGCGCGAUCUCGGUCGCGCCCGAUUCAAGGAUCAGAGUGCCAAGUGGGCCACUUUUGGUAAGCAGAACUGGCGCUGUGGGAUGAACCAAACGCAGAGUUAAAGCGCCCAAAUCGACGCUUAUGGGACACCAUGAAAGGCGUU
Molecule: ribosomal RNA, 638 nt
Filed under: Hydrophilidae sp. 12 MTM-2009
Lineage: Eukaryota; Metazoa; Arthropoda; Insecta; Coleoptera; Hydrophilidae
Description: eukaryotic LSU rRNA
Rfam family: Eukaryotic large subunit ribosomal RNA
Source: RNAcentral